RNAcentral lists this transfer RNA (87 nucleotides) under Gemmatimonadota bacterium. Its description in RNAcentral is "Gemmatimonadetes bacterium tRNA-Leu". It matches the Rfam family "tRNA". From Rfam's summary of the family: Transfer RNA (tRNA) molecules are approximately 80 nucleotides in length. The record is from RNAcentral. Lineage: Bacteria; Pseudomonadati; Gemmatimonadota.
GGAGGGUAGCGCCCGUCGGAGGGCAACACGUCUUAAAAACGUGGCCAUGCUCAUCACAGCAUGAGGGUUCGAUUCCCUUACCUUCCG